RNAcentral lists this ribosomal RNA (497 nucleotides) under uncultured bacterium. RNAcentral's name for it is "partial 16S ribosomal RNA". It matches the Rfam family "Bacterial small subunit ribosomal RNA", at positions 28 to 507 of the family's 1533-position model. The record is from RNAcentral.
GAUGAACGCUGGCGGCGUGCUUAACACAUGCAAGUCGAGCGAACAGACGAGGAGCUUGCUCCUUUGACGUUAGCGGCGGACGGGAGUGUAACACGUGUAUCCCCUACCUAUAAGACUGGUAUAACUUCGGGAAACCGGAGCUAAUCCCGGAUAACAUCCUGAACCGCAUGGUUCAACAGUGAAAGACGGUCUUUCUGUAACUUAUAGCUGGAUCCGGGCGGCAUUAGCUAGUUGGUAAGGUAAUGGCUUACCAAGGCAACGAUGCGUAGCCGACGUGAGAGACGGAUCGCCCGCCCGGGAACUGGGACGCGGUCCAGGCUCCUGCGGGAGGCAGCAGAAGGGAAUCGGCCGCAGUGGGCGGAAGCCUGACGGAGCAACGCCGCGUGAGUGAAGAAGGUGUUCGGAGCGUAAAACUCGGUUAUUGGGGAAGAACAAAUGUGUAAGUAACUAUGCACGUCUUGACGGUACCUGAUCAGAAAGCCACGGCUAACUACGUG